This 433-nucleotide ribosomal RNA is filed under the name uncultured bacterium. RNAcentral describes it as "partial 16S ribosomal RNA". It matches the Rfam family "Bacterial small subunit ribosomal RNA", at positions 29 to 507 of the family's 1533-position model. The record is from RNAcentral.
AACGAACGCUGGCGGCAUGCCUAACACAUGCAAGUCGAACGAGACCUUCGGGUCUAGUGGCGCACGGGUGCGUAACGCGUGGGAACCUGCCCUUAGGUUCGGAAUACCUCCCCGAAAGGGGUGCUAAUACCGGAUAAUGUCUUCGGACCAAAGAUUUAUCGCCUUUGGAUGGGCCCGCGUUGGAUUAGCUAGUUGGUAGGGUAAAAGCCUACUAAGGCGACGAUCCAUAGCUGGUCUGAGAGGAUGAUCAGCCACACUGGGAGUGAGACACGGCCCAGACUCCUGCGGGAGGCAGGAGUGGGGAAUAUUGGACAAUGGGCGAAGGCCUGAUCCAGCAAUGCCGCGUGAGUGAUGAAGGCCUUAGGGUUGUAAAGCUCUUUUACCCGGGAUGAUAAUGACAGUACCGGGAGAAUAAGCUCCGGCUAACUCCGUG